GGAAUAGGGAGCCAAAGUUCCUCGAGAAUGAAGACAAACUGGCAAGCCAGUUGCUUCGUUCUGCACUUAAUAAAGUGAUCAUACUCCGAGACCAAUAUGAUUGGUUCAUAGCGAAAAACGCUUCGGAGAUGUACUUUCCUCUGAGUUAUUACGAUAACCCAGAAGAGAAAGUACCUCUAAACGAUCUACCAGGGCCAUACUUAGCCUUGGUGACCGAGAUCGAGCAAUUCUUUGAAAUGCUGAUCGGUUUAGAGAUGAANUGGACUGAUCGUCCAGAGGCUAUAUACCAAGACCUUUAUAUGGAAAUGGAUGCCACACUUUAUUACGAAGAGGCCCUUGAACUUCACGAAAGAGUUGAUAAACUCGAGUUUAAACUUAAACCUUAUGAAGGUCGAGUUAAACCCGGGAAAACAAUCCACGAGACUGCGCCCAUACUUACUGCUUUACGCGGUAUUCUGGGGAACUAGUCUACGUAAGAUGGAACAACUCUCCUAAUCCAGUAACUAUUAGUACGUUACUGAGUUAGGUCGUGGUAGGAAUCUCCCGCCCUGAAAAUCAGAUGAAAGGCUCCUCCAAUAGAGAGACCGACCCUUUGGGACGACUUCUACGAUGAGGAUUCUAUCUNUNAACUUCUNGACACUUCGAGAAANUUNUGUUAAGUUUAUUAACAAUAAAAACCAUACCUUUAGGUCCGGGUGAAANACCGGGUAACCAUGGAGGGUAGUUCUUAUCAGAAGACUCCAAGAAACGGAAGAAGAAGAAAGAUGUGUCCAACUCGCAUAAAAUCUAUGCGCAUCGGCCUAACCAAGGGCACUGGGUGUUAUACCAGGUAACUUGGAAGGGGACCGACGGUGUGGAAACCUUUCUAUCCGAUUCAAUCGGUGGAACUUCUUAUUUUUACAAACCAGAGUGGUUCACUGAAGAACCCUUCUCGGCUUAGUACUAACGAGGCAUUUCUUUACAGAUANGCGCAGUUAGGANUAAGGUCCGAUCUUAAC
Molecule: unclassified non-coding RNA, 998 nt
Filed under: Thanatephorus cucumeris
Lineage: Eukaryota; Fungi; Basidiomycota; Agaricomycetes; Cantharellales; Ceratobasidiaceae
Source: RNAcentral